Molecule: ribosomal RNA, 487 nt
Filed under: uncultured bacterium
Lineage: Bacteria
Description: bacterial SSU rRNA
Rfam family: Bacterial small subunit ribosomal RNA
Source: RNAcentral
AGAGUUGAUCCUGGCUCAGGACGAACGCUGGCGGCAUGCCUAACACAUGCAAGUCGAACGAGAGUAGCAAUACUCGAGUGGCGAACGGGUGAGUAACACGUGAGCAACCUGCCUUACACAACGGGAUACCUACUGGAAACAGUAGUUAAUACGGUAUAAGACCACAGUACCGCAUGAUACAGUGGUAAAAGAUUUAUCGGUGUAAGAUGGGCUCGCGGCGCAUUAGCUAGUUGGAGAGGUGACGGCUCACCAAGGCGACGAUGCGUAGCCGACCUGAGAGGGUGAUCGGCCACAUUGGGACUGAGAUACGGCCCAGACUCCUACGGGAGGCAGCAGGUGGGGAAUAUUGGGCAAUGGAGGAAACUCUUACCCAGACAAUGCCGCGUGAAUGAUGAAGGUCGUAAGAUUGUAAAGUUCUUUAGUCAGGGACAAAGAAAGUGAUGGUACCUGAAGAAUAAGCUCCGGCUAACUACGUGCCAGCCGCCGC